Molecule: ribosomal RNA, 253 nt
Filed under: uncultured bacterium
Lineage: Bacteria
Description: partial 16S ribosomal RNA
Rfam family: Bacterial small subunit ribosomal RNA
Source: RNAcentral
UACGAAGGGGGCUAGCGUUGCUCGGAAUCACUGGGCGUAAAGGGCAUGCAGGCGGUCGGACGCGUUUCGGGUGACAGCGGGUGGCUUAACUACCCGAGUGGUCGAAAGACGGUUUGACUUGAGGACGCGAGAGGGACACGGAAUUCCGGGUGGAGUGGUGAAAUGCGUAGAGAUCCGGAGGAACACCGAAGGCGAAGGCAGUGUCCUGGCGCGUAACUGACGCUGAGGUGCGAAAGCCAGGGGAGCGAACGGG